CAACAAUACACCAAAAUGAAAUAAAACAUUCACCUAACAUUAAAGUAUAGGAGAUAGAAAUUUUUAUCCUGACGCUAUAGAGAUAGUACCGUAAGGGAUAGAUGAAAGAAUAAAAUUCAAAGUAAGAAAAAGCAAAGAUUACCCCUUCUACCUUUUGCAUAAUGGUUUAACCAGAAAAAAUCUAACAAAGAGAACUUUAGCUAGAUACCCCGAAACCAGACGAGCUACCCAUGAGCAGUUUAAAAGAACCAACUCAUCUAUGUGGCAAAAUAGUGAGAAGACUUGUAGGUAGAGGUGAAAAGCCUAACGAGCCUGGUGAUAGCUGGUUGUCCGAGAAAGAAUUUUAGUUCAACUUUAAAAAUACCCCAAAAACCUUAAAUUCCAAUGUAUUUUUAAGAGAUAGUCUAAAAAGGUACAGCUUUUUAGAAACGGAUACAACCUUGACUAGAGAGUAAAAUCUUAAUACUACCAUAGUAGGCCUAAAAGCAGCCAUCAAUUGAGAAAGCGUUAAAGCUCAACAAAUUCACCAACA
RNAcentral lists this ribosomal RNA (532 nucleotides) under Sus scrofa (pig). Its description in RNAcentral is "partial 16S ribosomal RNA". The stretch from base 130 to 532 matches the Rfam family "Bacterial large subunit ribosomal RNA", at positions 568 to 1169 of the family's 2925-position model. The record is from RNAcentral. Lineage: Eukaryota; Metazoa; Chordata; Mammalia; Artiodactyla; Suidae.